RNAcentral lists this ribosomal RNA (427 nucleotides) under uncultured bacterium. Its description in RNAcentral is "partial 16S ribosomal RNA". It matches the Rfam family "Bacterial small subunit ribosomal RNA", at positions 354 to 796 of the family's 1533-position model. The record is from RNAcentral.
GUGGGGAAUAUUGGGCAAUGGGGGAAACCCUGACCCAGCGACGCCGCGUGAGGGAAGACGGCCUUCGGGUUGUAAACCUCUUUUGUACGGGAAGAAGGAAGUGACGGUACUGUACGAAUAAGUCCCGGCUAACUACGUGCCAGCAGCCGCGGUAAUACGUAGGGGACGAGCGUUGUCCGGAAUUACUGGGCGUAAAGGGCGCGCAGGCUGUGCUGCAAGUCAGCUGUGAAAUGUCUGGGCUUAACCCGGGCAUGCGGUUGAGACUGCAGUGCUGGAGUGCUGUAGAGGCAAGUGGAAUUCCCAGUGUAGCGGUGAAAUGCGUAGAUAUUGGGAAGAACACCGGUGGCGAAGGCGACUUGCUGGCCAGCAACUGACGCUGAGGCGCGAAAGCCAGGGGAGCAAACGGGAUUAGAAACCCCAGUAGUCC